CCAGCAGGAUGCUUCCCAACACGCACAGCAGACAGCCCAGCUUCCCCACCACGUUUAACACCUCCCCCAACAGAGAUCUACGGCUACCUGAUGAGGACACUCAGGGCGCCCAGUGGAGUCACCAGCGUGGCCGGAGCAAACAUGUAGGCGGCGAAGUUACAGGCCUCUCCUGCUCCCACUGCAGAGAGAGAGAAUGGUUACUUCAUUAAAAAAUACAAACAUACACCAAUCCACAC
Long non-coding RNA from Thunnus maccoyii (southern bluefin tuna), 236 nucleotides. RefSeq lists it as uncharacterized. Lineage: Eukaryota; Metazoa; Chordata; Actinopteri; Scombriformes; Scombridae. The transcript has 3 exons. The record is from RefSeq and is a predicted model, not a curated record.